RNAcentral lists this ribosomal RNA (253 nucleotides) under uncultured bacterium. RNAcentral's name for it is "partial 16S ribosomal RNA". It matches the Rfam family "Bacterial small subunit ribosomal RNA", at positions 524 to 776 of the family's 1533-position model. The record is from RNAcentral.
UACAGAGGGUGCUAGCGUUAAUCGGAUUUACUGGGCGUAAAGCGCGCGUAGGUGGCCAAUUAAGUCAAAUGUGAAAUCCCCGAGCUUAACUUGGGAAUUGCAUUCGAUACUGGUUGGCUAGAGUAUGGGAGAGGAUGGUAGAAUUCCAGGUGUAGCGGUGAAAUGCGUAGAGAUCUGGAGGAAUACCGAUGGCGAAGGCAGCCAUCUGGCCUAAUACUGACACUGAGGUGCGAAAGCAUGGGGAGCAAACAGG